Molecule: ribosomal RNA, 253 nt
Filed under: uncultured bacterium
Lineage: Bacteria
Description: partial 16S ribosomal RNA
Rfam family: Bacterial small subunit ribosomal RNA
Source: RNAcentral
GACGUAGGGCGCGAGCGUUGUCCGGAUUUAUUGGGCGUAAAGAGCUCGUAGGCGGCUUGUCGCGUCGACUGUGAAAUCCCGCGGCUCAACUGCGGGUCUGCAGUCGAUACGGGCAGGCUAGAGUUCGGUAGGGGAGACUGGAAUUCCUGGUGUAGCGGUGAAAUGCGCAGAUAUCAGGAGGAACACCGGUGGCGAAGGCGGGACUCUGGGCCGAUACUGACGCUGAGGAGCGAAAGCGUGGGGAGCAAACAGG